GGGGGGGGCGACUAGACUGACAAGUCGAGCGGACAGAAGGGAGCUUGCUCCCGGAUGUUAGCGGCGGACGGGUGAGUAACACGUGGGUAACCUGCCUGUAAGACUGGGAUAACUCCGGGAAACCGGAGCUAAUACCGGAUAGUUCCUUGAACCGCAUGGUUCAAGGAUGAAAGACGGUUUCGGCUGUCACUUACAGAUGGACCCGCGGCGCAUUAGCUAGUUGGUGAGGUAACGGCUCACCAAGGCGACGAUGCGUAGCCGACCUGAGAGGGUGAUCGGCCACACUGGGACUGAGACACGGCCCAGACUCCUACGGGAGGCAGCAGUAGGGAAUCUUCCGCAAUGGACGAAAGUCUGACGGAGCAACGCCGCGUGAGUGAUGAAGGUUUUCGGAUCGUAAAGCUCUGUUGUUAGGGAAGAACAAGUGCAAGAGUAACUGCUUGCACCUUGACGGUACCUAACCAGAAAGCCACGGCUAACUACGUGCCAGCAGCCGCGGUAAUACGUAGGUGGCAAGCGUUGUCCGGAAUUAUUGGGCGUAAAGGGCUCGCAGGCGGUUUCUUAAGUCUGAUGUGAAAGCCCCCGGCUCAACCGGGGAGGGUCAUUGGAAACUGGGAAACUUGAGUGCAGAAGAGGAGAGUGGAAUUCCACGUGUAGCGGUGAAAUGCGUAGAGAUGUGGAGGAACACCAGUGGCGAAGGCGACUCUCUGGUCUGUAACUGACGCUGAGGAGCGAAAGCGUGGGGAGCGAACAGGAUUAGAUACCCUGGUAGUCCACGCCGUAAACGAUGAGUGCUAAGUGGUUAGGGGGUUUCCGCCCCUUAGUGCUGCAGCUAACGCAUUAAGCACUCCGCCUGGGGAGUACGGUCGCAAGACUGAAACUCAAAGGAAUUGACGGGGGCCCGCACAAGCGGUGGAGCAUGUGGUUAAUUCGAAGCACGCGAAGAACCUUACCAGGUCUUGACUCCUCUGACACCCUAGAGAUAGGGCUUUCCUUCGGG
This 1000-nucleotide ribosomal RNA is filed under the name Bacillus sp. (in: firmicutes). RNAcentral describes it as "bacterial SSU rRNA". It matches the Rfam family "Bacterial small subunit ribosomal RNA", at positions 39 to 1024 of the family's 1533-position model. Lineage: Bacteria; Bacillati; Bacillota; Bacilli; Caryophanales; Bacillaceae. The record is from RNAcentral.